RNAcentral lists this ribosomal RNA (770 nucleotides) under uncultured bacterium gp7. RNAcentral describes it as "bacterial SSU rRNA". It matches the Rfam family "Bacterial small subunit ribosomal RNA", at positions 67 to 816 of the family's 1533-position model. The record is from RNAcentral.
CGGGACUGUGGGGGCAACUCUGCAGUCUAGUGGCGGACGGGUGAGACACACGUGGGUAACCUGCCCGGAAGUGGGGAAUACCUCGGGGAAACUCGAGCUAAUACCGCAUGACAUCUUUGGAACGAAAGUUCUGACGAUCAAAGCGGGGUCGCAAGAUCUCGCGCUACCGGAUGGGCCCGCGCCCGAUUAGCUAGUUGGUGGGGUAACGGCUCACCAAGGCUUCGAUCGGUAACCGGCCUGAGAGGGCGAUCGGUCACACCGGAACUGAGACACGGUCCGGACUCCUACGGGAGGCAGCAGUGGGGAAUCUUGCGCAAUGGGCGAAAGCCUGACGCAGCAACGCCGCGUGGAGGAUGAAGGCCCUUGGGUUGUAAACUCCUGUCGGCUGGGAAGAAAUCUUUCGGGGCUAAUACCUCCGGAAGUUGACUGUACCAGCAAAGGAAGCCCCGGCUAACUCUGUGCCAGCAGCCGCGGUAAUACAGAGGGGGCCAGCGUUACUCGGAAUUAUUGGGCGUAAAGGGCGCGUAGGCGGCCAUGCGUGUCUUCCGUGAAAUCCCUCGGCUUAACUGAGGACGUGCGGAAGAAACUGCAAGGCUCGAGUCCGGGAGAGGGGGGUGGAAUUCCCAGUGUAGCGGUGAAAUGCGUAGAUAUUGGGAGGAACACCGGUGGCGAAGGCGGCCCCCUGGACCGGUACUGACGCUGAGGCGCGAAAGCGUGGGUAGCAAACGGGAUUAGAUACCCCGGUAGUCCACGCCUUAAACGAUGGGCAC